AAAAAGCACACCCCUCUGCCUUCUUUACCUUUUUAUAAACUCCUUGAUAAGCCUAAUCUCUUCUUUGGGAAUUUAUCACUUUUUUUUUCUUGUAUUGUUGCUCAACUAUAAAACAUGCCCCAUAUCUAUUUCUUAUAUUUACAAGAAUGGUACACUUCCAUGAAAGGAAAACUCAUUAUCCUAUAACACCACUAAUUCAUCUCACUGUGAUUAGAGAAAAUUUUAAAGAGAAAGACAGUGUUAAAUAUUUUUAUAACUGAUAGAUGAAUCUAAGGUGUAA
RNAcentral lists this unclassified non-coding RNA (280 nucleotides) under Hevea brasiliensis (rubber tree). The record is from RNAcentral. Lineage: Eukaryota; Viridiplantae; Streptophyta; Magnoliopsida; Malpighiales; Euphorbiaceae.